GUCCCCGUAGCUCAGCCGGAUAGAGCACCGGUUUCCUAAACCGGGGGUCGCAGGUUCGAAUCCUGCCGGGGACG
RNAcentral lists this transfer RNA (74 nucleotides) under Gemmatimonadota bacterium. RNAcentral describes it as "tRNA-Arg". It matches the Rfam family "tRNA". Rfam says of the family: Transfer RNA (tRNA) molecules are approximately 80 nucleotides in length. Their secondary structure includes four short double-helical elements and three loops (D, anti-codon, and T loops). Lineage: Bacteria; Pseudomonadati; Gemmatimonadota. The record is from RNAcentral.